UAUUUAUUCUCAUAUUUACUUUUAAAAUUAUUUUAAUAAUUACAAAUAAAAUUUAUUUAAAAUAUAUGCAUAUACUUUUAUAAUCGUUAGUAAUAUAAAUGACUAAAUAGUUUGUUGUUGGCUGAUGUUAAAUUUGGUUAUUAUGUUCAUUUUUCAAGAUUUUAUACAUAUAUAUAUAUAUAUAUAUAUAUAUAUCUGUUGUGUGUGUAUACAUGUUUUAGUACACCUUGAGCAUGGACUAGUGAGAGUUGGAUUCGGCGGUCAUGUGCUUCUUUCUUUCUUUCUUUGUUUUUAAGAGAGUGUUACCCUGCCAUACGUAGAGAGAAUGCAGUAGAAUAAGAAAUUGUAGUGUAGUUAGUUAGUUACAGGUGUUGAUAGUGAGGGGAUGUUAAUUGCAAGGCAGAAGGGCAGAAUGCAAAUGGAGUGGAGAUGGCGCUGGAGUGAGCCAGGGAGUACCCAAGGAAGGGGAAGGGAAGGGAGACUGGGCAGAGUGAGGCCAGAUCUGUUUCUGAAGGGGGCGGACUUGGUUGCUUUCUGGUUUUUCUUACGGAGGAGGAGUGUGGAUAACUAACUUUCACUCGUUGGAUCUGGAUGGUGGUGUCCUCGGCUUCUUAUGUGUUUUAUUUAUUACUUUUGGUAUUGGUUUUAUAAUUAUUAUUUGCAGAGCGAGAGAGAGAGAUUAUAAUUUUUUUAUAAUGAUUGUCGCAGGACGCCAUUCAUUUCCAUUCAUUCCCGGAGGGGAGGGGGGGAUACCGUCUGUCCGUCCGUCCAGGUUGAGGGGGUGGUGUUGUUGUUGCUGUUGUUGUUGUCGUGUGAGGUGGCGUGU
Molecule: long non-coding RNA, 826 nt
Filed under: Physcomitrium patens
Lineage: Eukaryota; Viridiplantae; Streptophyta; Bryopsida; Funariales; Funariaceae
Description: long non-coding RNA (PPAT_LNC009977)
Source: RNAcentral